Neofelis nebulosa (Clouded leopard) is the source of this 1935-nucleotide long non-coding RNA. RefSeq lists it as uncharacterized. The transcript is spliced from 2 exons. The record is from RefSeq and is a predicted model, not a curated record. Lineage: Eukaryota; Metazoa; Chordata; Mammalia; Carnivora; Felidae.
CUAAAAUUCUCAGCAGUUGGUGUCCCGGUUCUGCAGCCAAGUGGGCUGGACUAUCAUGCCUCAAGGACGCGGUCCAGACCUUCGUGUGGGGACCCAGCAGUGAGCAUGCUGGAAAUGCCCAGUGAACUUGUUGAUAAAUGAUUCAAUUAUGAACUUAAUUCCCAGCAUGGGUUCUGGGCCAGUCAGGGCUGCAUAUGACACCCUCUUGUCACUGCCUGAUGAUGGUUUUCCAGGGGCUCUGUCUGCCUUAGCUGAGGAAAAACUUGAUGUAGUGGCCUUGCCAGGCCCAGCAGAUCAUGUUUUUGGGGCCUGGGAGACUUUGGCCCCCUCGUAUGGCCCCUCUCCUGUCCUCCCUGGGCUCUUGUGUGUGUCUUUCCCAGCAGGCACCCGGCCAAGUGCAUUCAGCUCAGCGAUGGGGCAGGGCUGUAUGGAGAUUUAUGUGCUGAAUUUAAUAACAUUUCUCCCUUCUCAGGGCGACAGAGGAAACCAGUAUCCCCAAGGUGGAGGUGUCCCCUUCCCCUGGGAGCCCUGCCUCCUCACAGGCUGCCAUGCUUUGUUGUCCCUGUGACUCACCAAGUGUGUGCAGAGGAUGGAGGGUGGGCAGGGGCUGGGAGGGGCUGGAGAAGAGGCCGGUCUUGCUUCUGACACUCGAACUCCUCAGAAUUGCCACCCGCCCUGUGUGUCAGCACUGAGAGGGCAUUUUAGAGAUGGACAGAGGCCUGGCCUUUUCCAUUUUUUGAGUACCUUGAAUAUUUGAAAAAAGAAGAAAAAUGCCAGAAUUGGUACAAAAAAUUGUAGGUGGUAUAUUCUAUUUAGAUGCUUAAUAAAAAAAUGCUUCUAAACACUUAUAAAAAUACAAUGGCUAGGAGGACCCUCAUUUGGAGAGAAUGAUUCCAUAGAUCCAUAGACCAUAGAUUCACAGUCUAUGAUUUGAGGUUGUUUGUGGAUGAGAUUCAGAACGCGUGGCUCUCCUGGUCCUCUGCUCCCCUUCACCUCCGUGUUAGAUAUGGGUGCCUUUGGCGGGGCAGUGUGGGGGGUCUCCUGCUGGAGGGCUCAGGGCCCCACUCUUCUACGGGACAAAAGCCUUCAGAUCAACCUUAUGCCCCUGGGGAGAGGAGUGGUGCCCUCAGGCUGGCCUGGCCUGGGCAGGGAGGGUCUCCUUGCUGGGCUGGGGUGAACAGCAGGUGGAGGGACACAACCUGAGUCAUCCGUGGGACACGAUGCCCCCUUCUCCUGAUGUCCUCUUCCUCCAGCCAGGGGCUCAUCACUGGGGUAUCUGGGUUACCUUGGUUACGACAUGGGAAAAGGAAAUUUUGCGAAUGGCUUCUCCUUGGGUGCUUUCAGACUUAAGAAAUAGCUCCAUCAUUUGUGGCCAGCUUUCUGCUGGUUUCCUUCUGUGAUGAUAGCAGCCGCCAGUUCGCCUCAUGACAUGCCUACAUCAGCCAGGCAUUGUGUUAAGAGCUGAAAAUACAGCACGCUGGCUGUCCUGGGGGCAGGGGAGCUGACCGUUGACUUGGGAGAAAGGCACAAGUGUGUGAGUCACCUCCAUAUAAUGAAGUGAGCACUCUUCUUGGAUUAUGACAGAACCAUAGAGGAGAGCCGCCCACCCAGGGCGGGGCAUUCCUGAGAAGGUUCUGGAACAGAGAGGGAGGCUGAGCUGAAUCCUGAUGAAGAAAGCACUUAGCCAGGCUGGAGUGGGUUGUGAGAAGAUCCAAGGGACGGGGGCACCCAGCUUGGGUCGAGACUACAUUUCCAACAGUGGGAGUUCAGGGUCAGAAGGUAGAAUGACAACUACAGAAAACUUUAAAUAUCAGGUUUUCCCUCCAAGGAAAUCAACGUCCAUUGGCGUUCCCCUCCGCAGAGCAUGAGAGUCUUUCUAUCCCCACCUGCCCCUCCACCUGUGUUAUUAAAACUCACUUCCUCCACCUGUGCCAA